RNAcentral lists this ribosomal RNA (253 nucleotides) under uncultured bacterium. RNAcentral describes it as "partial 16S ribosomal RNA". It matches the Rfam family "Bacterial small subunit ribosomal RNA", at positions 524 to 776 of the family's 1533-position model. The record is from RNAcentral.
UACGGAGGGUGCAAGCGUUAUCCGGAUUUACUGGGUUUAAAGGGUGCGUAGGUGGGCAGUUAAGUCAGUGGUGAAAUCUCCGAGCUUAACUCGGAAACUGCCAUUGAUUCUAUCUGUCUUGAAUAUCCUGGAGGUGAGCGGAAUAUGUCAUGUAGCGGUGAAAUGCUUAGAUAUGACAUAGAACACCAAUUGCGAAGGCAGCUCACUACGGGAUUAUUGACACUGAGGCACGAAAGCGUGGGGAUCAAACAGG